AAAUUGAAGAGUUUGAUCAUGGCUCAGAUUGAACGCUGGCGGCAGGCCUAACACAUGCAAGUCGAGCGGAAACGAAUUAUC
This 81-nucleotide ribosomal RNA is filed under the name Vibrio parahaemolyticus. RNAcentral describes it as "partial 16S ribosomal RNA". It matches the Rfam family "Bacterial small subunit ribosomal RNA", at positions 1 to 84 of the family's 1533-position model. The record is from RNAcentral. Lineage: Bacteria; Pseudomonadati; Pseudomonadota; Gammaproteobacteria; Vibrionales; Vibrionaceae.